AAAAGAGGAGAAGAGGAAGGGAAAAGUUUAGGAGAGAGGAAAAAGGAAGAGGAAAAAGGAAGAGGAAGGAGAGGAAGAGGUUCAGGAAGAAAAGGGGGGGGAGGAAGAGAGGAGGAAGGAGAGGAGGAGGAAGGGAGAAGUUUAGGAGGAAAAGUGAGGAGGAAGGAGAGGAAAGAGAGGUGGAAAAGAAGGGAAGGAGGAAGAGGAAGUUUAGGAGGAAAGGGAAGGAAGGAGGGGAGGAAAGGAGAUGAAGUAGAGGAAAGAGAGGAGGAAAAGGAGAGAGGAAGAGGAAGCAGGAAAAGAUGAAGAAUAGGAAGAGGAAGGAAAGAAAACAAGGAAGGAAAAAGAAGAGAUUCAGGAGGAAGAAAAGGAGAAGAGCAGAAGAAAAGAGAGGAGGAAAAGAAGGGAUGAAGGGCAGGAAGGAAGGAAGGAAGAGAGGAAGUUUAGGAAGAGCAGGAGAAGGAAGAGAAAAUGGAGAAAGAAGAGGCAGGAGAUGAGAAAUGAGGAAAGGAAGGAAGGUAAAGCAGAGGAAAAAGAGGAGAAAAAGGAGAGAGGAAGAGGAAGAUGAAGAAGAGGAAGGAAAGGAAAAAAGGAAAGAAGAGGAAAAUGUUCAGGAAGAAAAAGAGGAAAAAAGAUGACAAAGGAGAGGAAGGAGAGUGGGACAAGGAGGGAGGAAGAGGAGGAUGAAGAAGAGGAAGGAGAGCAAGAAAAGGAAGAAAGAGGAGGAAAUUCAGGAGGAAAGAGAGGAGGAAAGAUGAUGAAGGAGAGGGAAGAGAGGAGAACAAGGAGGGAGGAAGAGGAGGAAGUUCAGGAGGAAGGAGGGUAAGAAAGACGACCAAGCAAGGCAAGGAGAGCGGACCAAGGAGAGAGGAAGAGGAGGAUGAAGAAGAGGAAGGAAAAGAAGAAAAUGGAAGGAAGAGGAGGAAGUUCAGCAGGAAGGAGGGGAGAAAAGACGACCAAGCAAGGCAAGGAGAGCGGGAUAAGGAGAGAGGAAGAGGAGGCGGGACGGGAGGAAGGAGAGGAAGAAAAGGAAGGAAGAGGAGGAAGUUCAGGAGGAAGGAAGGAAAGAUGAUGAAGCAGAGGAAGGAGAGCGGGAUGAGAGGAAGAAGAGGAUGAAGAAGAGGAAAGAAAAGAAGAAAAGGGAAGGAAAAGGAGGAAGUUCAGCAGGAAGGAGGGUAAGAAAGACGACCAAGCAAGGCAAGGAGAGCGGACCAAGGCGAGAGGAAGAGGAGGCGGGACGGGAGG
This 1245-nucleotide long non-coding RNA is filed under the name Phasianus colchicus (ring-necked pheasant). RNAcentral's name for it is "lncRNA (ENSPCLG00000007310.1)". Lineage: Eukaryota; Metazoa; Chordata; Aves; Galliformes; Phasianidae. The record is from RNAcentral.